This 662-nucleotide long non-coding RNA is filed under the name Eucalyptus grandis. Its description in RNAcentral is "long non-coding RNA (EGRA_LNC001550)". Lineage: Eukaryota; Viridiplantae; Streptophyta; Magnoliopsida; Myrtales; Myrtaceae. The record is from RNAcentral.
CCUCACUUCACUCUCUCUCUCCCCCAUUCGGUCCCCAUCUCGAACGGAGCUCUCUCUCUCCUCGUUUUCCCUCUCCUUCAGUUCCUGCUCCAGCUGACCCUUUGUCAAAGAAUCGAGUCAAAAGUGGUCUUCCCGGAUGAAUCAGCCAACGAGCCACAUAUCACCGUGACCGGGAGAGACAGACCGUUCCAACGAGCCCGAUUUCGUCCCGAACGGAUCCGCCGACCGGCCUGGGCGCCGCCGUGAAGGAACCGGUCGCUGGUCCGUCGGUCCGCCUGCAGCCUGCACUGUUUCGCGGUUUCGGCCAUUUUUCUCCCAUUCCGGUCCUUCCUCCGCCCAUCCCAACCUCCAGCAAGACCCCCAAGAACCCCGGGAGCCACCGGUUGCCAACCACCCGCUUGCCGGAGCUCCGAUCGGCCCGUUUUCGCCAUUGAAGCUGCUGGUUUCUUCUCUGCAGUUCAGCCAAGAUCAGAAGCAGAAGACAGCAAGGUUUUGGAGACUUUGUGGCCCGUUUUCAAGCCCUUCCCGGCCUCCGUUGGUGUCGCCGCUUUGGGGUUUAUAGACCGCCUUGGUGUCGUGGUCGCCGUGAACUCACCGGCGCGCAAAACCGGUGAGUUUAUCCUCUAAUUCUUGCUUAGUGAGUUAAUGACGCUUAAGGGGUG